Molecule: ribosomal RNA, 483 nt
Filed under: uncultured bacterium
Lineage: Bacteria
Description: partial 16S ribosomal RNA
Rfam family: Bacterial small subunit ribosomal RNA
Source: RNAcentral
GACGAACGCUGGCGGCGUGCUUAACACAUGCAAGUCGAACGAUGAAGCCGCUUCGGUGGUGGAUUAGUGGCGAACGGGUGAGUAACACGUGGGCAAUCUGCCCUGCACUCUGGGACAAGCCCUGGAAACGGGGUCUAAUACCGGAUACGACCAUCGGCCGCAUGGCCUGGUGGUGGAAAGCUCUGGUGGUGCAGGAUGAGCCCGCGGCCUAUCAGCUUGUUGGUGGGGUGAUGGCCUACCAAGGCGACGACGGGGAGCCGGCCUGAGAGGGCGACCGGCCACACUGGGACUGAGACACGGCCCAGACUCCUACGGGAGGCAGCAGUGGGGUAUAUUGCACAAUGGGCGCAAGCCUGAUGCAGCGACGCCGCGUGAGGGAUGACGGCCUUCGGGUUGUAAACCUCUUUCAGCAGGGAAGAAGCUUUCGGGUGACGGUACCUGCAGAAGAAGCACCGGCUAACUACGUGCCAGCAGCCGCCGCCG